RNAcentral lists this non-coding RNA (110 nucleotides) under Novibacillus thermophilus. Its description in RNAcentral is "SAM-I sequence". It matches the Rfam family "SAM riboswitch aptamer (S box leader)". Rfam says of the family: The SAM riboswitch is found upstream of a number of genes which code for proteins involved in methionine or cysteine biosynthesis in Gram-positive bacteria. The SAM riboswitch acts at the level of transcription termination control. Lineage: Bacteria; Bacillati; Bacillota; Bacilli; Caryophanales; Thermoactinomycetaceae. The record is from Rfam by way of RNAcentral.
CUCUUAUCGAGAGCGGCGGAGGGACUGGCCCGAUGAAGCCCGGCAACCUGUCGAUCUUUUCGAUUGGCAAGGUGCCAACUCCUGCAGGAACGUUUCCUGAGAGAUAAGAG